This 253-nucleotide unclassified non-coding RNA is filed under the name Hevea brasiliensis (rubber tree). Lineage: Eukaryota; Viridiplantae; Streptophyta; Magnoliopsida; Malpighiales; Euphorbiaceae. The record is from RNAcentral.
GGUGUGAUGAACUGCUUCGCAUACUGAUGAACUCUUGAUCCUGAACCUGACCGAUGGUCGUAGUACUCCACCAGUGCAGAGCCAGCCAAUGCAGCCAGUGUGAGGGCCUGAGCAUGCAACCUGGCGUGGAUGAUCUUGACGCUGGUCUUCAUGCCGGGCCUCGACCAGUUGUACGCGAUCGAGCUCGCCACCCCAGUCAGCCACAGCGUCCCGACGGCCCGGAGCUUGUGGUCGACGACCCACUCCCUCAUCG